GGGGAGAUACUCAAGUUUGGUUAACGAGGACAGACUGUAAAUCUGUUGGCUCAGCCUUCGCAGGUUCGAAUCCUGCUCUCCCCA
This 84-nucleotide transfer RNA is filed under the name Blattabacterium punctulatus. RNAcentral's name for it is "tRNA-Tyr". It matches the Rfam family "tRNA". Rfam says of the family: Transfer RNA (tRNA) molecules are approximately 80 nucleotides in length. Their secondary structure includes four short double-helical elements and three loops (D, anti-codon, and T loops). RNAcentral also lists the same sequence under 1 other name. The record is from RNAcentral. Lineage: Bacteria; Pseudomonadati; Bacteroidota; Flavobacteriia; Flavobacteriales; Blattabacteriaceae.